This 367-nucleotide ribosomal RNA is filed under the name uncultured bacterium. RNAcentral describes it as "bacterial SSU rRNA". It matches the Rfam family "Bacterial small subunit ribosomal RNA", at positions 28 to 396 of the family's 1533-position model. The record is from RNAcentral.
GACGAACGCUGGCGGCGUGCUUAACACAUGCAAGUCGAGCGGUAAGGCCCUUUCGGGGGUACACGAGCGGCGAACGGGUGAGUAACACGUGGGUGACCUGCCCUCAGCUCUGGGAUAAGCCUGGGAAACCGGGUCUAAUACUGGAUAUGACUCCAUGACGCAUGUUGUGGGGUGGAAAGCCUUGUGCGGCUGAGGAUGGGCCCGCGGCCUAUCAGCUUGUUGGUGGGGUGANGGCCUACCAAGGCGACGACGGGUAGCCGGCCUGAGAGGGCGACCGGCCACACUGGGACUGAGACACGGCCCAGACUCCUACGGGAGGCAGCAGUGGGGAAUCUUGGACAAUGGGCGCAAGCCUGAUCCAGCCAUG